CCUACGGGUGGCAGCAGUGGGGAAUAUUGGACAAUGGGCGAAAGCCUGAUCCAGCCAUGCCGCGUGUGUGAAGAAGGCCUUCGGGUUGUAAAGCACUUUCAGUGGGGAAGAAAGCCUUGGGGCUAAUACCCUCGAGGAAGGACAUCACCCACAGAAGAAGCACCGGCUAACUCCGUGCCAGCAGCCGCGGUAAUACGGAGGGUGCGAGCGUUAAUCGGAAUUACGGGGCGUAAAGCGCGCGUAGGCGGUCUGAUAAGCCGGUUGUGAAAGCCCCGGGCUCAACCUGGGAACGGCAUCCGGAACUGUCAGGCUAGAGUGCAGGAGAGGAAGGUAGAAUUCCCGGUGUAGCGGUGAAAUGCGUAGAGAUCGGGAGGAAUACCAGUGGCGAAGGCGGCCUUCUGGACUGACACUGACGCUGAGGUGCGAAAGCGUGGGUAGCAAACAGGAUUAGAUACCCCGGUAGUC
This 465-nucleotide ribosomal RNA is filed under the name Vreelandella stevensii. Its description in RNAcentral is "partial 16S ribosomal RNA". It matches the Rfam family "Bacterial small subunit ribosomal RNA", at positions 338 to 795 of the family's 1533-position model. The record is from RNAcentral. Lineage: Bacteria; Pseudomonadati; Pseudomonadota; Gammaproteobacteria; Oceanospirillales; Halomonadaceae.